CAAUGGGGGGAACCCUGNAUGCAGCGACGCCGCGCUGGAGGAAGAAGGUCUUCGGCAUUGUAAACUCCUGUUGUUGAGGAAGAUAAUGACGGUACUCAACAAGGNAAGUGACGGCUAACUACGUGCCAGCAGCCGCGGUAAAACGUAGGUCACAAGCGUUGUCCGGAAUUACUGGGUGUAAAGGGAGCGCAGGCGGGAGAACAAGUUGGAAGUGAAAUCCAUGGGCUCAACCCAUGAACUGCUUUCAAAACUGUUUUUCUUGAGUAGUGCAGAGGUAGGCGGAAUUCCCGGUGUAGCGGUGGAAUGCGUAGAUAUCGGGAGGAACACCAGUGGCGAAGGCGGCCUACUGGGCACCAACUGACGCUGAGGCUCGAAAGUGUGGGUAGCAAACAGGAUUAGAUACCCUGGUAGUCCAAGGGCGAAUUC
Molecule: ribosomal RNA, 426 nt
Filed under: uncultured bacterium
Lineage: Bacteria
Description: SSU rRNA
Rfam family: Bacterial small subunit ribosomal RNA
Source: RNAcentral